GUUUUACAGUUGAUCUCUGAACUUCAGGUAAGUUAAUGUGUUGACAAGCG
Molecule: small nucleolar RNA, 50 nt
Filed under: Lupinus angustifolius (narrow-leaved blue lupine)
Lineage: Eukaryota; Viridiplantae; Streptophyta; Magnoliopsida; Fabales; Fabaceae
Description: snoRNA snoR101
Rfam family: Small nucleolar RNA snoR101
Source: RNAcentral